ACUCAAAGGAAUUGACGGGGACCCGCACAAGCAGUGGAGUAUGUGGUUUAAUUCGAAGCAACGCGAAGAACCUUACCAGGGCUUGACAUGGGGACGACAGCGCUAGAGAUAGCGUUUUCUUCGGACGUCCCACACAGGUGGUGCAUGGUUGUCGUCAGCUCGUGUCGUGAGAUGUUGGGUUAAGUCCCGCAACGAGCGCAACCCUUAUUGUUAGUUGCUACCAUUAAGUUGAGCACUCUAACGAGACUGCCGGUGACAAAUCGGAGGAAGGUGGGGACGACGUCAAAUCAUCAUGCCCCUUAUGUCCUGGGCUACACACGUACUACAAUGGCCAUUAACAACGGGCAGCGAAGCCGCGAGGUGGAGCAAAUCCCCAAACAUGGCCUCAGUUCAGAUUGUAGGCUGAAACUCGCCUGCAUGAAGUAGGAAUUGCUAGUAAUCGCGAAUCAGCAUGUCGCGGUGAAUACGUUCCCGGGUCUUGUACACACCGCCCGU
Molecule: ribosomal RNA, 495 nt
Filed under: uncultured bacterium
Lineage: Bacteria
Description: bacterial SSU rRNA
Rfam family: Bacterial small subunit ribosomal RNA
Source: RNAcentral